Molecule: ribosomal RNA, 459 nt
Filed under: uncultured bacterium
Lineage: Bacteria
Description: partial 16S ribosomal RNA
Rfam family: Bacterial small subunit ribosomal RNA
Source: RNAcentral
CCUACGGGGGGCAGCAGUGAGGAAUAUUGGUCAAUGGCUGAGAGGCUGAACCAGCCAAGUCGCGUGAGGGAAGAAUGUCCUAUGGAUUGUAAACCUCUUUUGUCAGGGAGUAAAGUCACCCACGUGUGGGUGUUGGAGAGUACCUGAAGAAAAAGCAUCGGCUAACUCCGUGCCAGCAGCCGCGGUAAUACGGAGGAUGCGAGCGUUAUCCGGAUUUAUUGGGUUUAAAGGGUGCGUAGUGGGGUUAUCAAGUCAGCGGUAAAAUCGUGGGGCUCAACGCCAUACAGCAGUUGAUAAUGGUGGUCUUGAGUGGGCGAGAGGUAUGCGGAAUGCGUGGUGUAGCGGUGAAAUGCAUAGAUAUCACGCAGAACUCCGAUUGCGAAGGCAGCAUACCGGCGCCCGACUGACGCUGAAGCACGAAAGCGUGGGUAUCGAACAGGAUUAGAUACCCUUGUAGUC